AUGCUAAGUAUCGAUGUUUAGCAGUAUCGCAACGUCCCUAAAUGAGUUGUCAAAAAAAUCGGUUUAUUCGCGUUGAAAGAGAUUUCGAAGGCUGUUCGCAGCUACGUGAACUCUCAAACCAAACAAAUAUCAGCAACACCGUCAACGCCAAUAGUUAAAGGAAAGCUGAACCAAAGCAAAGGUGUAGACGAUAAAGGGGGGCAUGAACAGUUUACGCAUUAAUGCUUGAGCAACAUAUCAAAAGGUCGUAACACCGAGACAGAAAAAAGGAAUAACUUUGAUAAAAGUUUGUAUGCAAGUUAUGACGUUUGUAACUUACACUCAAAAAAAUGUUAAAAAUAACACUAUUAUUCUUAUCAUUAA
Molecule: long non-coding RNA, 363 nt
Organism: Wyeomyia smithii (pitcher-plant mosquito)
Lineage: Eukaryota; Metazoa; Arthropoda; Insecta; Diptera; Culicidae
Exons: 2
Source: RefSeq, a predicted model, not a curated record